Misgurnus anguillicaudatus (oriental weatherfish) is the source of this 134-nucleotide small nucleolar RNA. RefSeq annotates it as small nucleolar RNA SNORA69. The record is from RefSeq and is a predicted model, not a curated record. NCBI's taxonomy places the organism in Eukaryota, Metazoa, Chordata, Actinopteri, Cypriniformes, Cobitidae.
AAAGCAGGACGCAAUUACAGUGCUAAAUUUUGUGUUUGUACUGCCAUUAUCCUGCUGAGAGUAUUCUUCUGUUAACAGAGAUGUGAGCGUUGUCAUCUUGUAUGACAAGCAAAUGCUCUGUUACAGAGACAGAA